This 443-nucleotide ribosomal RNA is filed under the name Bacillus vallismortis. RNAcentral's name for it is "bacterial SSU rRNA". It matches the Rfam family "Bacterial small subunit ribosomal RNA", at positions 432 to 865 of the family's 1533-position model. Lineage: Bacteria; Bacillati; Bacillota; Bacilli; Caryophanales; Bacillaceae. The record is from RNAcentral.
UCUGUUGUUAGGGAAGAACAAGUGCCGUUCAAAUAGGGCGGCACCUUGACGGUACCUAACCAGAAAGCCACGGCUAACUACGUGCCAGCAGCCGCGGUAAUACGUAGGUGGCAAGCGUUGUCCGGAAUUAUUGGGCGUAAAGGGCUCGCAGGCGGUUUCUUAAGUCUGAUGUGAAAGCCCCCGGCUCAACCGGGGAGGGUCAUUGGAAACUGGGGAACUUGAGUGCAGAAGAGGAGAGUGGAAUUCCACGUGUAGCGGUGAAAUGCGUAGAGAUGUGGAGGAACACCAGUGGCGAAGGCGACUCUCUGGUCUGUAACUGACGCUGAGGAGCGAAAGCGUGGGGAGCGAACAGGAUUAGAUACCCUGGUAGUCCACGCCGUAAACGAUGAGUGCUAAGUGUUAGGGGGUUUCCGCCCCUUAGUGCUGCAGCUAACGCAUUAAGC